Molecule: ribosomal RNA, 444 nt
Filed under: uncultured bacterium
Lineage: Bacteria
Description: partial 16S ribosomal RNA
Rfam family: Bacterial small subunit ribosomal RNA
Source: RNAcentral
CUACGGGACGCACCAGUGGGGAAUAUUGCACAAUGGGCGAAAGCCUGAUGCAGCAACGCCGCGUGAGGGACGACGGCCUUCGGGUUGUAAACCUCUUUUAGCAGGGAAGAAGCGAAAGUGACGGUACCUGCAGAAAAAGCACCGGCUAACUACGUGCCAGCAGCCGCGGUAAUACGUAGGGCGCAAGCGUUGUCCGGAAUUAUUGGGCGUAAAGAGCUCGUAGGCGGUUUGUCGCGUCUGCUGUGAAAAUCCGAGGCUCAACCUCGGACCUGCAGUGGGUACGGGCAAACUAGAGUGCGGUAGGGGAGAUUGGAAUUCCUGGUGUAGCGGUGGAAUGCGCAGAUAUCAGGAGGAACACCAAUGGCGAAGGCAGAUCUCUGGGCCGUAACUGACGCUGAGGAGCGAAAGCGUGGGGAGCGAACAGGAUUAGAUACCCUGGUAGUC